UACGUAGGGUGCGAGCGUUAAUCGGAAUUACUGGGCGUAAAGCGUGCGCAGGCGGUUCGUUGUGUCCGUCGUGAAAGCCCCGGGCUUAACCUGGGAACUGCGAUGGAAACUAGCGAGCUGGAGUGUGGCAGAGGGGGGUGGAAUUCCGCGUGUAGCAGUGAAAUGCGUAGAGAUGCGGAGGAACACCGAUGGCGAAGGCAGCCCCCUGGGCUAACACUGACGCUCAUGCACGAAAGCGUGGGGAGCAAACAGG
RNAcentral lists this ribosomal RNA (253 nucleotides) under uncultured bacterium. Its description in RNAcentral is "partial 16S ribosomal RNA". It matches the Rfam family "Bacterial small subunit ribosomal RNA", at positions 524 to 776 of the family's 1533-position model. The record is from RNAcentral.